UUCCCGUCUAGUGCUGGCCCUGCGAACCCCCCCCACCCCCGGCACAGCUCCGGCUCGCCCACGGGCUAGUGCAGCUCUCGCUGUCCCAGCCCCGCCGGUGAACGCUCCAGCCCGGCAUCGCCUCGCCCCGGCCCCAGGGCCUCCAGCCCAGCCAUAAAGGUCACCCUGAGCAUCAUCACCAUGUGGAAGGGAUCCCACACCUGCAUCUCUCUCCCACGCAGCAUCUCCCCGGGGACAUGGAUUCAAAUGCCACCCUCCCGAGAGAUCCCUCUCAGCCGCUGCUAAACCAAACGCUGCCCACGCAUGAGACCUUCCUGAAGGCAAAUGUCCUCAAGUUGAUCUGGAAAAAAAAACAAAACCUGAGUGUCAAGUUUGUAAGGCCUCUGCUGGAACCACUGCUGCAAAUCAGCCUCUUCCAGCUACAAGCAGGACCAAAACUCUCCACCUGAAUAGCAUCACUCCCACUGCCUUGGUCCAGCACAGUAAACAGGUGAAGCUGUUGAGUUUAAAUAAAAAAAAAAC
Long non-coding RNA from Chroicocephalus ridibundus (black-headed gull), 522 nucleotides. RefSeq lists it as uncharacterized. The record is from RefSeq and is a predicted model, not a curated record. The transcript is spliced from 5 exons. NCBI's taxonomy places the organism in Eukaryota, Metazoa, Chordata, Aves, Charadriiformes, Laridae.